Molecule: long non-coding RNA, 2735 nt
Organism: Alligator mississippiensis (American alligator)
Lineage: Eukaryota; Metazoa; Chordata; Crocodylia; Alligatoridae
Exons: 3
Source: RefSeq, a predicted model, not a curated record
GAGCAACUCACACAAAAGGACUCUCAGACCCAGGGGAAUAUAAUACAUCCAGCCUCAACUUCCCCUGUACAAAAUGAAGUUUAUUUUCUACCUAAGAGGACUUUUUGAACCUUUGAUUUCUCCCCAGCCUGAAGAAGGGUGAAUGUUCCUGAAAGCUUGCAAAGAAAGUUUUUUUUUUUUGCUAUGUUUUAGUUGGUCUAAUAAAAGGUAUCACAUCUAAACUAAGAGUUUUAGAGUUUUGUAUUUCUCUUUGUCUCAGACCAACAUGGCUACAGAAUAGAUCCCUUAUACCUACAGGGCACUUCAAAGGUGGUAGCUGCAGCCCCUUGCUGGGGAAGCAUUUAAAGCUCAGGGGCCAGUCAGGAGGAUGUCAGCUGCAAAGGCUGUGGAGGUGGACUGGGAUUCUCCAGCCUUGAAGCUGACAAGGAGAGGCUUUUGCUUUAUGACUCAGCCAGACCAUCUCUCUGGAGGGGGCAGGGAGCUGGAGCAAUGUACGCUGGAAGUCUGGAGGGCAAAGCAAGAGCUUCUGUCAGAAGGCUCCAGAUGCCAAUGGGUGAAACUCCACAUGAGGAGUCUGCAGCAGGGGAGUGGAGGACAGUUGCCUAUGGAUCUAGGUGACGGGGCCCGGUGUCUGCUUCCCCAUUGCAUGUGGGGAACAGAUAUGGGGCCCUGACAACCAUGGAGGACACAGAGGAGGAGCAUUUUCCUGCAGAGGUGGUGGUCCCUGUAGCUUCUACUGGGCAGGCUGGGGGAUCACUGCCCAGGCAGAAGAAGAAAUGCUGAGUGAUCAUGGUGUGAGACUUGAUCCUGACAGGCACUGAGAGGCCGAUCUGUUGACUGGAUCCUAUGGUGAGAGAAGUCUCCUGCAUGCAUGAAGCUAAGAUCAGGGACAUCACUGAGGCAAUUCCUGCUCUCAUUAAGCCCUCUGACUAUUACCCCAUGGUCCUCAUCCAUGUGGGAACCAACGAUGCAGCUAGGACCAACCCUGACUGCAUCAUGAAGGACUUCCAUGAACUGGGAGACAGCCUCAAGAAGACUGGAGCACAGGUUGUAUUUUCUUCCAUCCUUCCAGUUGGCUGUAGCCGGAGAUGCCAGGGUGCCCACAUCAAGGAAGCCAACUGGUGGCUUCAGAGCUGGUGUCUUCAGGAGAGCUUCAGAUUCUACAGCCAUGACCAGCACUUCCAGGGAGGAGGCUUCCUGGGAGAUGGUGAUCUUCAUCUCUCUCCCAGAGCUCAAGAAGAAAAAGAAGAAGAAGAAGAAUUAUUUUGAGACAAGAACUGUUUUUCCAGUAAAUGGGAAAUCCCAUGCAACCUGUACUGUGAACCUAGUUAUAUUUGCACAUCUGGCUGUUUCUGUGACAUUGCAAAUGAUCAGCAGAUGUGAAACAGUCAACUCAGAUAUAUAUGUCACCCCACAAGGGUGAAGAUAUUUCUGUUCAUCAGCCAAGGAAAUGGAGGCUCUCUUUCAGGCUAGUUAAAGAGCACAUUUCAUGUCCAUUUUGAAACUCUAUUUUCAAUGGCUUUUUAAAAAGAAUAGACACCCAAUAUACCUUACCACUAUACUUCAGCCCCAGAGUGCUAAUGACCAGUAAACAUGAUCAUUAUUCUUGCUUAAAGUAGAGAAGAUGAAAUCCAAUUAAACUGCUGUACAAAAUAAUUACCCUAACUUCUUGUGAGACAUGCAGGAAUUUCUUCAUUUUACUAACGGAGAAACUGAAAUGAACAUAUAGUGACAUUCCAUCCCACUGUUGAGUAGAAUAAAUAGCAUGCCAGUUUGUAUCAUUUAUAAGUCAUCCUGUUAUCUUUCUGAGUGGCUGCCACACUCUGCAUGAAUCUUCAAUGAGCUUUCCACAGUGAUGCCUAAGCCUGGUUCCUCAGAGAACCCUACUGAUUAGGAGACCUUUGGCCAAUAAAAAGUUUGAAAAUACGCUUCAAUGUGCAAUGGAAUACAUUUGUCAAAGUGAAACUUAAUCUACCAUCUUGCUGUCUUGCCCCCACUGUGUACAAAUCUAUCUGGGAUUUCUCAUAAUCCUCUUCAAGGACUUGUACAUUUACUAGGGAUUACUGACAUGGAUAUGCUGUUUGACAGCCAACUGUGGCAUUGUAAUGACAUCUCAGACUAGAUUUAAUGCGUAUUUGGUGGUAAAAAUGGAUGAAUAAUACUUACUGAAUUAUUAAUUUGAUGAAUUCUGUAAUAGUAUUUUAAAUAAAUGAUUUAAACUUUUUUUUUUACAUUCUUCAGGCUUAAAGAACUGGAUGAGUCUAGUGAUUCACAAAGAGCAAAAUUGGUAUUAUAGAAACAGAUUGAAUUUGAAAAGACAAACUGAGAAAACUGAUAAGCUUGGAUAGGAAUCAAAGAAAAACAAGUUGUGCUGUAUCCUGAUUUGACUUCAGGGAAUUAAUACUGAACUCUUUCCUGAGAUUUCAACUCAAAUGGAUAGAACCAUAUAUCUGUGAAAUAAGUGGGCUCUGCUUAGUCAGCACAAAGAGUUCAAGCAAAGAAUAGCCCUCUCGCCUUGUAACAUUAACCAAUUUAUUUUAUCUCCUAUUAAAAUUCCCUUGUUAUUAAAGUUCAAAUGGAUGGCAUGCUAUUUCUUGUGAAUGUUUGAUUAUUAACAACAGGUAAGGCAAACCAAUUCCCAGCUUCAGAGAAAUAGGAUUUGAUAUUAUUGAAUCUCAGUAUAUUUUGAGUGAUGUAUAAAGCUGCUGCUACUUUUUCAUUAGGAACUAGUUAUC